AGAGUUUGAUCCUGGCUCAGGACGAACGCUGGCGGCGUGCCUAACACAUGCAAGUCGAACGGAGUUAAGCCCUUCGGGACUUAACUUAGUGGCGAACGGGUGAGUAACGCGUGAGAAACCUGCCUUUCAGUGGGGGACAACAGUUGGAAACGACUGCUAAUACCGCAUGAUACUUCUUGAGGGCAUCCUUGAUAAGUCAAAGCUUUAUGUGCUGAAAGAUGGUCUCGCGUCUGAUUAGCUAGUUGGUGGGGUAACGGCCCACCAAGGCGACGAUCAGUAGCCGGUCUGAGAGGAUGAACGGCCACAUUGGGACUGAGAUACGGCCCAGACUCCUACGGGAGGCAGCAGUGGGGAAUAUUGGGCAAUGGGGGAAACCCUGACCCAGCAACGCCGCGUGAAGGAAGAAGGCCUUCGGGUUGUAAACUUCUUUUACCAGGGACGAAGAACGUGACGGUACCUGGAGAAAAAGCAACGGCUAACUACGUGCCAGCAGCCGCGGUAAUACGUAGGUUGCAAGCGUUGUCCGGAUUUACUGGGUGUAAAGGGCGUGUAGGCGGAGCUGCAAGUCAGAUGUGAAAUCCCGGGGCUCAACCCCGGAACUGCAUUUGAAACUGUAGCCCUUGAGUAUCGGAGAGGCAAGCGGAAUUCCUAGUGUAGCGGUGAAAUGCGUAGAUAUUAGGAGGAACACCGUGGCGAAGGCGGCUUGCUGGACGACAACUGACGCUGAGGCGCGAAAGCGUGGGGAGCAAACAGGAUUAGAUACUCUGGUAGUACACGCUGUAAACGAUGAAUAGUAGGUGUGGGAGGAAUGACACAUUCGAUGCCGCAGUUAACACAAUAAGUAUUCCAACUGGGGAGUACGACCGCAAGGUUGAGACUCAAAGGAAUUGACGGGGGCCCGCACAAGCAGUGGAUUAUGUGGUUUAAUUGGACGCUAAGCGAAGAACUUUAUCAGGAUAGGACAUCCAAAUAAGGAAGCAGAGAUGCAUUAGGUGCCCUUCGGGGAAAGUUGAGACAGGUGGUGCAUGAUAGUCGUCAGCUCGUCUCGUGAGAUGAUGGGGUAAGUCAUGCAAGGAGCGCAACCCCUAUUGAUAGUUGCUAAGAAAGAGCAGUUUAGCGAGAUGGCGGUCGACUACACCGGAGGAAGACGGGAACGAAGUCGAAUCAUCAUGCCCGUAAUGUAAUGGGUUACACAUGUAAUACAAUGUCCAUCAACAGAGGGAAGUAGAAGCAGUGAGGUGGAGCAAAUCUCCAAAAACGGUAUCAGUUCGGAUUACAGGCUACUAAUCGCUUGCACGAAGAUGGAAUUGCUAGUAGAUCGCGGAUCAGCAUGCCGCGGAGAAUAUGUUCACGGGCCUUGUACACGCCGCCAGUCA
RNAcentral lists this ribosomal RNA (1376 nucleotides) under uncultured bacterium. Its description in RNAcentral is "16S ribosomal RNA". It matches the Rfam family "Bacterial small subunit ribosomal RNA". The record is from RNAcentral.